This 494-nucleotide ribosomal RNA is filed under the name uncultured bacterium. Its description in RNAcentral is "partial 16S ribosomal RNA". It matches the Rfam family "Bacterial small subunit ribosomal RNA", at positions 28 to 507 of the family's 1533-position model. The record is from RNAcentral.
GACGAACGCUGGCGGCGUGCUUAACACAUGCAAGUCGAACGGAAAGGCCUGCUUUCCCUUGUGGAUUGCGGGUGCUCGAGUGGCGAACGGGUGAGUAACACGUGAGUGAUCUGCCCCCAACUUGGGUAUAAGCCUGGGAAACUGGGUCUAAUUCCCGAUAGGACUGCAGGGUGGUGCCUGUGGUGGAAAACGAUUUUCUAGUGGUUGGGGAUGAGCUCGCGGCCUAUCAGCUUGUUGGUGGGGUAAUGGCCUACCAAGGCGGCGACGGGUAGCCGGCCUGGGAGGGUGGACGGCCACAUUGGGACUGCGAUACGGCCCAGACUCCUACGGGAGGCAGCAGUGGGGAAUAUUGCACAAUGGGCGGAAGCCUGAUGCAGCGACGCCGCGUGGGGGAUGACGGCCUUCGGGUGGUAAACUCCUUUCGACCGCGAGGAAGCCACCUGGUUGGAAGGGUGGUGACGGUAGUGGUAGAAGAAGCACCGGCUAACUACGUG